GAUGAACGCUAGCUACAGGCUUAACACAUGCAAGUCGAGGGGCAGCAUGGUCUUAGCUUGCUAAGGCCGAUGGCGACCGGCGCACGGGUGAGUAACACGUAUCCAACCUGCCGUCUACUCUUGGACAGCCUUCUGAAAGGAAGAUUAAUACAAGAUGGCAUCAUGAGUCCGCAUGUUCACAUGAUUAAAGGUGUUCCGGUAGACGAUGGGGAUGCGUUCCAUUAGAUAGUAGGCGGGGUAACGGCCCACCUAGUCUUCGAUGGAUAGGGGUUCUGAGAGGAAGGUCGGCCACAUUGGAACUGAGACACGGUCCAA
Molecule: ribosomal RNA, 315 nt
Filed under: uncultured bacterium
Lineage: Bacteria
Description: bacterial SSU rRNA
Rfam family: Bacterial small subunit ribosomal RNA
Source: RNAcentral